RNAcentral lists this ribosomal RNA (445 nucleotides) under uncultured bacterium. RNAcentral describes it as "partial 16S ribosomal RNA". It matches the Rfam family "Bacterial small subunit ribosomal RNA", at positions 354 to 796 of the family's 1533-position model. The record is from RNAcentral.
GUAAGGAAUAUUGGACAAUGGACGCAAGUCUGAUCCAGCCAUGCCGCGUGAAGGAUUAAGGUCCUCUGGAUUGUAAACUUCUUUUAUAAGGGACGAAAAAAGGCUUUUCUAAGUCGUCUGACGGUACCUUAUGAAUAAGCACCGGCUAACUCCGUGCCAGCAGCCGCGGUAAUACGGAGGGUGCAAGCGUUAUCCGGAUUCACUGGGUUUAAAGGGUGCGUAGGCGGGCAGGUAAGUCAGUGGUGAAAUCCUAGAGCUUAACUCUAGAACUGCCAUUGAUACUAUCUGUCUUGAAUAUUGUGGAGGUAAGCGGAAUAUGUCAUGUAGCGGUGAAAUGCAUAGAUAUGACAUAGAACACCGAUAGCGAAGGCAGCUCACUAGGUCUGGAUUGACGCUCAGGGACGAAAGCGUGGGGAGCAAACAGGAUUAGAUACCCGUGUAGUCC